RNAcentral lists this RNase P RNA (383 nucleotides) under Candidatus Saccharimonadota bacterium. RNAcentral describes it as "RNase P RNA component class A". It matches the Rfam family "Bacterial RNase P class A". Rfam says of the family: Ribonuclease P (RNase P) is a ubiquitous endoribonuclease, found in archaea, bacteria and eukarya as well as chloroplasts and mitochondria. Its best characterised activity is the generation of mature 5'-ends of tRNAs by cleaving the 5'-leader elements of precursor-tRNAs. Lineage: Bacteria; Candidatus Saccharimonadota. The record is from RNAcentral.
CCAGGUUAUUAGCUAGUCGCUUGCCUCGGCAAGAGGAAAGUCCGGACAGCAUAGGGCAAGACAGUUGCUAACGGCAACCAAGAGCAAUCUUAGGGAAAGUGCCACAGAAACAAUACAGCCCAGCUUAUUUUUCGAAGAUAAACUGAGCAAAGGUGAAAAGAGUGCGGUAAGAGCGCACAACGUCGUAUGGUGACAUACGAAGUCGGUAAACCCUGUCUGCUGCAAGGAGAUGAGUCCUUUGAGGCUAAACCUCAAAGUACCCGCUAAGGAUUCGUCAUAAGAACCGCGAGAUUUUAUCGGCGACGAUAAAACUAGAUAGAUGACUAGCCCUGUCUGCCGUCAGGCAGGCUCGACAAAAUCCGGCUUAUAGAUAGCCUGGCACA